AUGAACGCUGGCGGCGUGCCUAAUACCUGCCAGUCGAGCGAACAGAUGAGGAGCUUGCUCCUCUGACGUUAGCGGCGGACGGGUGAGUAACACGUGGAUAACCUACCUAUAAGACUGGGAUAACUUCGGGAAACCGGAGCUAAUACCGGAUAAUAUAUUGAACCGCAUGGUUCAAUAGUGAAAGACGGUUUUGCUGUCACUUAUAGAUGGAUCCGCGCCGCAUUAGCUAGUUGGUAAGGUAACGGCUUACCAAGGCAACGAUGCGUAGCCGACCUGAGAGGGUGAUCGGCCACACUGGAACUGAGACACGGUCCAGACUCCUACGGGAGGCAGCAGUAGGGAAUCUUCCGCAAUGGGCGAAAGCCUGACGGAGCAACGCCGCGUGAGUGAUGAAGGUCUUCGGAUCGUAAAACUCUGUUAUUAGGGAAGAACAAAUGUGUAAGUAACUAUGCACGUCUUGACGGUACCUAAUCAGAAAGCCACGGCUAACUACGUG
RNAcentral lists this ribosomal RNA (496 nucleotides) under uncultured bacterium. Its description in RNAcentral is "partial 16S ribosomal RNA". It matches the Rfam family "Bacterial small subunit ribosomal RNA", at positions 29 to 507 of the family's 1533-position model. The record is from RNAcentral.